UUACCGGCGGCGGCUUACCAUGCAAGUCGAGCGGUAACAUUUCUAGCUUGCUAGAAGAUGACGAGCGGCGGACGGGUGAGUAAUACUUAGGAAUCUACCUAGUAGUGGGGGAUAGCUCGGGGAAACUCGAAUUAAUACCGCAUACGACCUACGGGAGAAAGGGGGCAACUUGUUGCUCUCGCUAUUAGAUGAGCCUAAGUCGGAUUAGCUAGAUGGUGGGGUAAAGGCCUACCAUGGCGACGAUCUGUAGCUGGUCUGAGAGGAUGAUCAGCCACACCGGGACUGAGACACGGCCCGGACUCCUACGGGAGGCAGCAGUGGGGAAUAUUGGACAAUGGGGGAAACCCUGAUCCAGCCAUGCCGCGUGUGUGAAGAAGGCCUUUUGGUUGUAAAGCACUUUAAGCAGUGAAGAAGACUCUUCGGUUAAUACCCGGAGACGAUGACAUUAGCUGCAGAAUAAGCACCGGCUAACUCUGUGCCAGCAGCCGCGGUAAU
This 495-nucleotide ribosomal RNA is filed under the name uncultured bacterium. RNAcentral's name for it is "bacterial SSU rRNA". It matches the Rfam family "Bacterial small subunit ribosomal RNA", at positions 36 to 524 of the family's 1533-position model. The record is from RNAcentral.